This 324-nucleotide unclassified non-coding RNA is filed under the name soil metagenome. RNAcentral's name for it is "partial contains 5.8S ribosomal RNA, internal transcribed spacer 2, and large subunit ribosomal RNA". The stretch from base 1 to 120 matches the Rfam family "5.8S ribosomal RNA", at positions 35 to 154 of the family's 154-position model. The record is from RNAcentral.
GAUGAAGAACGCAGCGAAAUGCGAUAAGUAGUGUGAAUUGCAGAAUUCAGUGAAUCAUCGAAUCUUUGAACGCACAUUGCGCCCCUUGGUAUUCCAUGGGGCAUGCCUGUUCGAGCGUCAUUUGUACCUUCAAGCUUUGCUUGGUGUUGGGUGUUUGUCCCUCGGGACUCGCCUUAAAGUCAUUGGCAGCCAGUGUUUUGGUUUUGAAGCGCAGCACAAGUCGCGAUUCAAGGCUAUCCGCCCGCUUCCACAAGCCUUUUUCACUUUUGACCUCGGAUCAGGUAGGGAUACCCGCUGAACUUAAGCAUAACAAUAAGCGGAGGA